AGAGUUUGAUCCUGGCUCAGAACGAACGCUGGCGGCGUGCUUAACACAUGCAAGUCGAGUGCGCGUUUCGUAGCAAUACGAGAUGGCGCACGGCGCACGGGUGCGUAACACGUGGGUAACCUGCCCUUUGGUGGGGAAUAACUCCGCGAAAGCGGAGCUAAUUCCGCAUAAGAUCCGCAAGGAUGAAAGCCGCAAGGCGCCGAUGGAGGGGCCCGCGCACGAUUAGCUAGUUGGUAGGGUAACGGCCUACCAAGGCUUUGAUCGUUAGCUGGUCUGAGAGGAUGGCCAGCCACACUGGAACUGAGACACGGUCCAGACUCCUACGGGAGGCAGCAGUGGGGAAUCUUGCACAAUGGGCGAAAGCCUGAUGCAGCGACGCCGCGUGGGGGAUGAAGCAUUUCGGUGUGUAAACCCCUUUCGAUCCGGACGAAUGCCCGCAAGGGAUUGACGGUACGGAUAUAAGAAGCCCCGGCUAACUACGUGCCAGCAGCCGCGGUAAGACGUAGGGGGCCAGCGUUGUUCGGAAUUACUGGGUGUAAAGGGUUCGUAGGCGGUGCGGCAAGUUGGGAGUGAAAUCUCUGGGCUCAACCCAGAGGCUGCUUCCAAAACUGCUGUGCUUGAGUGUGGGAGAGGCGCGUGGAAUUGCAGGUGUAGCGGUGAAAUGCGUAGAUAUCUGCAGGAACACCCGUGGCGAAAGCGGCGCGCUGGACCACUACUGACGCUGAGGAACGAAAGCUAGGGGAGCAAACAGGAUUAGAUACCCCGGUAGUCC
This 772-nucleotide ribosomal RNA is filed under the name uncultured bacterium. RNAcentral's name for it is "bacterial SSU rRNA". It matches the Rfam family "Bacterial small subunit ribosomal RNA", at positions 8 to 796 of the family's 1533-position model. The record is from RNAcentral.